GUUGACUAGGUUACUAGCUCUGUUUCAUCACUUAGUACCUAAAGUGAUGUCAUAGACUGUUGAAAUUCAUUUGGAAACAAAUCCUGGCUGCUUUGUCUGCACUUUGAUGGUGUGACUAGAUAGUGCACUUUGACGGCAGUGUAUGCUGGUCAGCUCUGAUUUCCACAGAUACGCAGAGAAAUCCUGAUGUAAUAUUCUCAAGCCCCACUGAGAGAUUCUUGGAAGCAUGACUAUAUGGAAAUAAGAUGCAAUGGGGGUGGACUAUUAACACAUGGUUUGGAGCUGACACAGUCUGCAUUAGGAUGCUCAAUGUAUAAAGCGAAGAAUUUUCUUUGAGUCAAUACACAACUGGAAGAUAUCUACUGAAAUUAGAAACUAACAUUUCAAAUAAAUAACCCCAUUUCAGAGUCAUAAAUACAGGUCUUUGGAAUAGCUGCUCUGGCCCAGUUCUUUUAUUGAUUAAAUUUUAUUUAAAACAAAA
Molecule: long non-coding RNA, 481 nt
Organism: Rattus norvegicus (Norway rat)
Lineage: Eukaryota; Metazoa; Chordata; Mammalia; Rodentia; Muridae
Source: RefSeq, a predicted model, not a curated record